UUGUUUUCUUUGUUUCUUUGUUAUUAAAGAGUAAUGGAUAGUUUCUGAAUAUUGAGAAAAGAGUCUGUGGAAUGAAUCAAAGAUUGAUUUAUGAGUUAUUGAUUAUGUAAUUGGAGUACUGAGUGAUUGAAUUAUAUGAGAAAUUAUUGGAAGAUUGAUUAUGGAUGGAAGAUUAUGAUUGUUGUUUAUUGAGAGUUGUGUGUGUGUGUUUUGACAGAGAAAGUCUGUGAUUAUAGUAAUUCUGUGAAUUGAGAUUGGUUGGAGUGAAGUCUAUUAUUCUUAGUGUUGGAUGGAAUUUAUUGAGUUUUGAGCGGUAUUUUGAGAGUACAGGGUUGCACAUUGUGGUUAUCAGUUGAUGAAGG
Molecule: long non-coding RNA, 362 nt
Filed under: Physcomitrium patens
Lineage: Eukaryota; Viridiplantae; Streptophyta; Bryopsida; Funariales; Funariaceae
Description: long non-coding RNA (PPAT_LNC011836)
Source: RNAcentral